AUUAGGCAUGCAAGGUCGAACGGUAUUGGACCGUUUCGGGGUUCUAGAGAGUGGCGAACGGGUGAGUAACACGUUGGGUAAUCCUACCCGUCGAAGACGGGGACGAACCCAGGGAAACUUGGGCUAAUACCGGAUGUGUGUAGUGGACUAUUUUUCUGAUUAUCAUUAUUUACGUAAGUGAGUAAUAAUAAGAAGGGAAAGUGGUUAUUACAUAAAAGGUGGCGUAAGCUGCCGCUUGGGGAUGAGCCUGCGUCCUAUUAGUUAGUUGGUGAGGUAACGGCUCACCUAGGCAAUGAUAGGUAGGCGGCCUUAACGGGUGGUCGCCCACACUGGGAUUGAGAUACGGCCCAGACUCCUACGGGAGGCAGCAGUCGAGAAUAGUCUACAAUGGUCGGAAGACUGAUAGUGCGACGCCGCGUGAACGAUGAAUCCCUUCGGGGUGUAAAGUUCUUUUAUAUGUGAGCAGUGCUUCUUAUAUUAACAGUAUGGGGAGAGAGAUAUUAGCAUAUGAAUAAGCAACGGCUAACUCCGUG
Molecule: ribosomal RNA, 533 nt
Filed under: uncultured bacterium
Lineage: Bacteria
Description: bacterial SSU rRNA
Rfam family: Bacterial small subunit ribosomal RNA
Source: RNAcentral